This 1364-nucleotide ribosomal RNA is filed under the name Vibrio cholerae. Its description in RNAcentral is "partial 23S ribosomal RNA". It matches the Rfam family "Bacterial large subunit ribosomal RNA", at positions 1605 to 2925 of the family's 2925-position model. Lineage: Bacteria; Pseudomonadati; Pseudomonadota; Gammaproteobacteria; Vibrionales; Vibrionaceae. The record is from RNAcentral.
CUUCCAGGAAAAGCCUCUAAGCUUCAGAUAGUCAGGAAUCGUACCCCAAACCGACACAGGUGGUCGGGUAGAGAAUACCAAGGCGCUUGAGAGAACUCGGGUGAAGGAACUAGGCAAAAUGGUACCGUAACUUCGGGAGAAGGUACGCUCUUGAUGGUGAAGUCCCUCGCGGAUGGAGCUGACGAGAGUCGCAGAUACCAGGUGGCUGCAACUGUUUAUUAAAAACACAGCACUGUGCAAAAUCGCAAGAUGACGUAUACGGUGUGACGCCUGCCCGGUGCCGGAAGGUUAAUUGAUGGGGUUAGCGCAAGCGAAGCUCUUGAUCGAAGCCCCGGUAAACGGCGGCCGUAACUAUAACGGUCCUAAGGUAGCGAAAUUCCUUGUCGGGUAAGUUCCGACCUGCACGAAUGGCGUAAUGAUGGCCACGCUGUCUCCACCCGAGACUCAGUGAAAUUGAAAUCGCUGUGAAGAUGCAGUGUACCCGCGGCUAGACGGAAAGACCCCGUGAACCUUUACUACAGCUUGGCACUGAACAUUGAACCUACAUGUGUAGGAUAGGUGGGAGGCUAUGAAGACGUGACGCCAGUUGCGUUGGAGCCGUCCUUGAAAUACCACCCUUGUAUGUUUGAUGUUCUAACUUAGACCCGUUAUCCGGGUUGAGGACAGUGCCUGGUGGGUAGUUUGACUGGGGCGGUCUCCUCCCAAAGAGUAACGGAGGAGCACGAAGGUGGGCUAAUCACGGUUGGACAUCGUGAGGUUAGUGCAAUGGCAUAAGCCCGCUUAACUGCGAGAAUGACGGUUCGAGCAGGUGCGAAAGCAGGUCAUAGUGAUCCGGUGGUUCUGUAUGGAAGGGCCAUCGCUCAACGGAUAAAAGGUACUCCGGGGAUAACAGGCUGAUACCGCCCAAGAGUUCAUAUCGACGGCGGUGUUUGGCACCUCGAUGUCGGCUCAUCACAUCCUGGGGCUGAAGUCGGUCCCAAGGGUAUGGCUGUUCGCCAUUUAAAGUGGUACGCGAGCUGGGUUUAGAACGUCGUGAGACAGUUCGGUCCCUAUCUGCCGUGGGCGUUGGAAGAUUGAAGGGGGCUGCUCCUAGUACGAGAGGACCGGAGUGGACGAACCUCUGGUGUUCGGGUUGUGUCGCCAGACGCAUUGCCCGGUAGCUAAGUUCGGAAUUGAUAAGCGCUGAAAGCAUCUAAGCGCGAAGCGAGCCCUGAGAUGAGUCUUCCCUGAUACUUUAAGUAUCCUAAAGGGUUGUUCGAGACUAGAACGUUGAUAGGCAGGGUGUGUAAGCGUUGUGAGGCGUUGAGCUAACCUGUACUAAUUGCCCGUGAGGCUUAACCAUACAACACCCAAGGGGUUUUGUA